AUGGUGGCAACCACUCACCGGAGGUGGCUUCUUCUCCCCGUUCGCCGUCUUCCUAGCAGACAACCCAUGAAAACGCCCGUCUGCAUCCCGAUCCCCACACGAAACCGCGCCCGCCUCCCGCGCUGCCACCUUUCCCGUUCGAGUGACCCCACCCCCACCUCUGAGGCACAGGCUACCGACUCCCUGCGCGUUGCCUUCGCGUGCGGCGGCGCGGGGGGGCACGUCUAUGCCGCGUUCGCGCUCGCCGAAGAGGUCCAGGCCUCGCUCCCUGGCUCCCGCUCCCUCUUCCUCGGCGCCCCCGCCCCGUCCCUCGAGUCCGCCACCGCCGCGUCUUCCUCAUACCCAUUCGCCCCCGUCCCUCCUUGCCUCCCCCGCGCGCUCCUCGCCGCGGCGCUGCACCUCUACCACUUCCGCCCCCACGUCCUCGUCGCCACCGGCGGUCCCCCCGCCCUGCCCAGCUGCCUCGCCGCGCUGCUCCUGGGACUCCCUUUCGUGAUCCAGGACCAGGACGCCGGCCCCGCCCCUGCCACCCGCCUCCUGGCCCCCCUCUCUCGCCGUGUCUUUCUCGCGUUCAACGCGCCCGUCCGCCUCCUCCCGAAGCGCAAGUGCGCCGUCUACGGGAACCCCGUCCGCAUGUCCAUCCGCAACCGCAGGAUGUCCAAGGCCGCCGCCAUGGCGCGUUUCUUCCCCAGGGCAGGGCUGGUGGAGGCGGAGGGGAUGGAGGUCGUGCUUGUGCUCGCCGGGACGGUGGGAUCGCCGCAGAUCAAUGUGGCAGUACUUAACAUGUAUUACGAGAUGCUGUCGAGAAGGAAAAAUAGGUACAUUAUAUGGCAGACGGGACCAGAGGAUUUCUGCGAGAUGGAGAGCCUCGUCAGGGCGCAUCGCCGGCUGUUUCUGACACCAUUCUUGCAUGAAAUGGACAUGACAUAUGCUGCUACUGAUGUUGUCGUUUCUCGAGCUGGUUCUGUGGCUUGCACUGAGAUAUUGGUCACUGGGAAACCGGCAAUUCUGAUACCCUUACCGACAAUUGUGGAUGACCAUCAAACGAAAAACGCGUAUAUCAUGGCAGAUGUCAUGGGAGCAAGGGUCAUAACAGAAGAUGAACUUGAUUCUAGUAGCCUAACAUGCAUAAUUGAUGAAAUUGUUGGUGAUGAGAAAUUGAUGGCAGAGAUGUCUCAGAAGGCACUAAAUGCUGCUCGACCAAAUGCUUCGGCUGAUAUUAUUCAUCACAUCUGUUCACUGAUUGGCCGAACUAACCUGACAUAA
This 1266-nucleotide ribosomal RNA is filed under the name Triticum aestivum (bread wheat). Its description in RNAcentral is "partial small subunit ribosomal RNA". The record is from RNAcentral. Lineage: Eukaryota; Viridiplantae; Streptophyta; Magnoliopsida; Poales; Poaceae.